This 445-nucleotide ribosomal RNA is filed under the name uncultured bacterium. RNAcentral's name for it is "partial 16S ribosomal RNA". It matches the Rfam family "Bacterial small subunit ribosomal RNA", at positions 354 to 796 of the family's 1533-position model. The record is from RNAcentral.
GUGAGGAAUAUUGGUCAAUGGGCGGGAGCCUGAACCAGCCAAGUCGCGUGAAGGAAGAAGGAUCUAUGGUUCGUAAACUUCUUUUGUAGGGGAAUAAAGUGCAGGACGUGUCCUGUUUUGUAUGUACCCUGAGAAUAAGGAUCGGCUAACUCCGUGCCAGCAGCCGCGGUAAUACGGAGGAUCCGAGCGUUAUCCGGAUUUAUUGGGUUUAAAGGGUGCGUAGGUGGUUUGAUAAGUCAGCGGUGAAAGUUUGCAGCUUAACUGUAAAAAUGCCGUUGAAACUGUCGGACUUGAGUGUAAAUGAGGUAGGCGGAAUGCGUGGUGUAGCGGUGAAAUGCAUAGAUAUCACGCAGAACUCCGAUUGCGAAGGCAGCUUACUAAGCUACAACUGACACUGAAGCACGAAAGCGUGGGGAUCAAACAGGAUUAGAUACCCCAGUAGUCC